CACCUGCAUCAAAGUAUUUCACUGGGAUUAUUUCAGAUAAUUUAUCUGUUUCUAAUAACAAGAUCUCUGUCCGACUGUCAAACGAUAGUUAACUUUGAACGUGAAUCACUGAUUAGAAAUCCGUCUACACCAGUCUCCCACAUGAUGGAUCUUAAGGAUGUCGGAGUAAAAAUAUUCUGCUUCAUUUUCAUUUUCUCAAAUCACUCAAUGAAGGGACAUUCUUCAAACUUGAAGUGUUGUUUUCAAGUUUUGACAAACCUCUCGGUUUCCUAUCAUCUCAGUGAGCCACAUGGAGCCUCCUGUACACCAACAUGGUCUGCAAUGGAAUACGUUGUGGUUGACGAACAUGGAAAUGUGGAUAAGACGAAGGUAGUAUAUCAGGAACCCCAGAAGUUAAUCCUCAAACAAAACACGGAUGAUGUCAGAGGGGUCACAUACCGAAAGGACUGUCACCAGCAUGCUUACACUGCAAUUUGUCGUGGUAUGUUGGUUUCAUUUAAUAUAAUGGUUAUAAUGUUUUUAUUUCAUGAGUUGUCACAUUCAGCACAUUCAGGACUGCAACACAUCCAAGCAAUGUUUUACGGAUCGUGAAAUGGAGAAUCAAAAUCAACCGGAUUUGAAAUUGAGAAAAUAGUGACAUCACAAUUCUCUUCGAAACGUCCCUUUACAUGCUUCAUUAUCAUGUGUAACCAUAGAGGUGUGUUCUGAAUAACUCAUCUCCGUCUAUUAAACACAAACACUAUACUGCUGUUGGAU
Molecule: long non-coding RNA, 756 nt
Organism: Carassius carassius (crucian carp)
Lineage: Eukaryota; Metazoa; Chordata; Actinopteri; Cypriniformes; Cyprinidae
Exons: 4
Source: RefSeq, a predicted model, not a curated record